This 411-nucleotide ribosomal RNA is filed under the name uncultured bacterium. RNAcentral describes it as "bacterial SSU rRNA". It matches the Rfam family "Bacterial small subunit ribosomal RNA", at positions 64 to 507 of the family's 1533-position model. The record is from RNAcentral.
GAACGAGAAAGUGGAGCAAUCCAUGAGUACAGUGGCGUACGGGUGAGUAACACGUGGGUGAUCUACCUCUUAGUGAGGAAUAACCCUGGGAAACCGGGGCUAAUACCGCAUAAGCCUGAGAAGGGAAAGCAGCAAUGCGCUGAGAGAGGAGCCCGCGGCCGAUUAGCUAGUUGGUGAGGUAAGAGCCCACCAAGGCAGAGAUCGGUAGCCGGCCUGAGAGGGCACACGGCCACACUGGCACUGAAACACGGGCCAGACUCCUACGGGAGGCAGCAGUGGGGAAUCUUGCACAAUGGGGGAAACCCUGAUGCAGCGACGCCGCGUGAGCGAUGAAGCCCUUCGGGGUGUAAAGCUCUUUCGUCAGGGAAGAUAGUGACGGUACCUGGAGAAGCAGCUGCGGCUAACUACGUG